Non-coding RNA from Musa acuminata subsp. malaccensis (wild Malaysian banana), 665 nucleotides. The record is from RefSeq and is a predicted model, not a curated record. NCBI's taxonomy places the organism in Eukaryota, Viridiplantae, Streptophyta, Magnoliopsida, Zingiberales, Musaceae.
GAUAAAAAUUGACUCCCAGCGCGGGCUGUCCAUAUAAACGGAAGACGAAGCCCGCGUCGGGCUUUCGGAGAAGCCGAGGCGAACGGGAGGGCGGCGCCGGAGGUCGCCAGAUGCUUCCCUCCUGAUGGCAGACGCCUCCACUUUCGGCCCAGAUGAAUAAAAUGCGUGAUUGAGGAAGGAGAACCGAUCCGGCAUAUAUUGUCGCCCUCUUGUAGUUUCAGAACUUUGAACAAAGUUCUAGGGUUGUUCAUGGGCAUCCGAAUUGGUGACCGAUGAAAGAAAUGGAUUGGGUUCUUCAACUUUUUCUUCCGUGCUGGAUUUUGAUUUUAGGGUUACACUAGUAACAGAUUCCUAAGCGUCUUACUGUGGGUGUUAAUAUAUAGAGAUUAUUCAUGGUUGAAGGAGGGGAAUAUUUGAGCUGAUGUAAUCUGCCAUACUCAGAAUAUUGUAGAAAAUUUAGAUUUAAAAAAAAAAAGAAAAAAACUAAGAAGAAACUUUCAGUACUUUAAAGAGAGACCUCUCACUCGUGCAAUAAUGCACUGACCACUAGAGACGAAAGUUUGUAUAUUUGUUUUCUCCUCCUUUAGUAAAAUUACAUCUUUUGGAGCUUAGGAAUUGACCUCCACCACUUUAUUGUGUAUGAUGCUAACGCAUUAUGAGGUUCA